UACGGAGGGUGCAAGCGUUAUCCGGAUUCACUGGGCUUAAAGGGUGCGUAGGCGGGUUUUUAAGUCAGCGGUGAAAGCUCCGAGCUCAACUCGGAAAUUGCCGUUGAUACUAUUAAUCUUGAAUUUAGUUGAGGUGGGCGGAAUGUGUAGUGUAGCGGUGAAAUGCUUAGAUAUUACACAGAACACCUAUUGCGAAGGCAGCUCGCUAAACUAAUAUUGACGCUGAGGCACGAAAGCGUGGGGAUCAAACAGG
This 253-nucleotide ribosomal RNA is filed under the name uncultured bacterium. RNAcentral's name for it is "partial 16S ribosomal RNA". It matches the Rfam family "Bacterial small subunit ribosomal RNA", at positions 524 to 776 of the family's 1533-position model. The record is from RNAcentral.